Molecule: ribosomal RNA, 252 nt
Filed under: uncultured bacterium
Lineage: Bacteria
Description: partial 16S ribosomal RNA
Rfam family: Bacterial small subunit ribosomal RNA
Source: RNAcentral
UACGGAGGAUGCGAGCGUUAUCCGGAUUUAUUGGGUUUAAAGGGUGCGUAGGCGGUCCGGAAAGUCAGCGGUAAAAGCCCGGGGCUCAACCCCGGCGAGCCGCUGAAACUGUCGGACUAGAGACGGCGAGAAGUACGCGGAAUGCGCGGUGUAGCGGUGAAAUGCAUAGAUAUCGCGCAGAACUCCGAUUGCGAAGGCAGCGUACCGGCGCCGGACUGACGCUGAGGCACGAAAGCGUGGGUAUCGAACAGG